GUGGCUCAAAGGAGAGAGCACCAGCCCCAUAUGCUGGAGAUGGUGGGUUCAAAUCCAGCC
Molecule: transfer RNA, 60 nt
Filed under: Otolemur garnettii (small-eared galago)
Lineage: Eukaryota; Metazoa; Chordata; Mammalia; Primates; Galagidae
Rfam family: tRNA
About the family: Transfer RNA (tRNA) molecules are approximately 80 nucleotides in length. Their secondary structure includes four short double-helical elements and three loops (D, anti-codon, and T loops). Further hydrogen bonds mediate the characteristic L-shaped molecular structure. tRNAs have two regions of fundamental functional importance: the anti-codon, which is responsible for specific mRNA codon recognition, and the 3' end, to which the tRNAs corresponding amino acid is attached (by aminoacyl-tRNA synthetases). tRNAs cope with the degeneracy of the genetic code in two manners: having more than one tRNA (with a specific anti-codon) for a particular amino acid; and 'wobble' base-pairing, i.e. permitting non-standard base-pairing at the 3rd anti-codon position.
Source: Rfam by way of RNAcentral